GCAUCGAUAGUUCAAUGGAAGAGCGGUGGGGCGUUGACCCAUGCGGCCCGGGUUCGAGCCUCGGUCGAUGCA
This is a non-coding RNA of Phthorimaea operculella (potato tuberworm), 72 nucleotides long. The record is from the annotation of a GenBank genome assembly. NCBI's taxonomy places the organism in Eukaryota, Metazoa, Arthropoda, Insecta, Lepidoptera, Gelechiidae.